AGAACGAACGCUGGCGGCAGGCCUCAAACAUGCAAGUCUAGGGGGCGUAGCAAUACGUCACCGGCGGACGGGUGCGUAACACGUGGGAAUGUACUUACUGGUUCGGAACAACUCAGGGAAACUUGAGCUAAUACCGAAUGUGCCCGAAAGGGGAAAGAUUUAUCGCCAGUAAAUCAGCCCGCGUCCGAUUAGCUAGUUGGUGGGGUAAAGGCCCACCAAGGCGACGAUCGGUAGCUGUUCUGAGAGGAAGAUCAGCCACACUGGGACUGAGACACGGCCCAGACUCCUACGGGAGGCAGCAGUUGGGAAUCUUGGACAUGGGGAACCUGAUCCAGCCAUGCCGCGUGAGUGAUGAAGGCCUUCGGGUUGUAAAACUCUUUCGACGGGGACGAUAAUGACGGUACCGUAGAAGAAGCUCGGCUAACUUCGCGCCAGCAGCCGC
Molecule: ribosomal RNA, 442 nt
Filed under: uncultured bacterium
Lineage: Bacteria
Description: SSU rRNA
Rfam family: Bacterial small subunit ribosomal RNA
Source: RNAcentral